RNAcentral lists this ribosomal RNA (253 nucleotides) under uncultured bacterium. RNAcentral's name for it is "partial 16S ribosomal RNA". It matches the Rfam family "Bacterial small subunit ribosomal RNA", at positions 524 to 776 of the family's 1533-position model. The record is from RNAcentral.
UACGAAGGGGGCUAGCGUUGUUCGGAAUCACUGGGCGUAAAGGGCGCGUAGGCGGCUUUAUAAGUCGGGGGUGAAAGCCUGUGGCUCAACCACAGAAUUGCCUUCGAUACUGUAGAGCUUGAGACCGGAAGAGGUAAGUGGAACUGCGAGUGUAGAGGUGAAAUUCGUAGAUAUUCGCAAGAACACCGGUGGCGAAGGCGGCUUACUGGUCCGGUUCUGACGCUGAGGCGCGAAAGCGUGGGGAGCGAACAGG